Molecule: ribosomal RNA, 412 nt
Filed under: uncultured Rhizophagus
Lineage: Eukaryota; Fungi; Glomeromycota; Glomeromycetes; Glomerales; Glomeraceae
Description: partial 28S ribosomal RNA
Source: RNAcentral
GAGAGUUAAACAGUACGUGAAAUUGUUGAAAGGGAAACGAUUGAAGCCAGUCGUACCUUCGGGUAAUCAGCCUUUCGGGUGCGAUUCUGUGGGGUGUGAAGAGUUAAACGCCUUCACGUUUUGCAUAUUCGUGCUCUUGGGUGUACUUGCCCGUGUGGUUGGUUAACAUCAAUUUUGGACGCCAUAAAAUGGCUGGAGGAAUGUAGCUUCGAUCUCGUAUUGAAGUGUUAUAGCCUUCGGUAGAUGUGGUUUUCGAGAUUGAGGAUUGCAACGGAUACCCUUCGGGGCUACCUAUCUGAUCUCUGAUCGUUGCUCUGGUGCCGAAAGCUUGCUUACGGUUAUCAAAGUCGAUGGUCAAUAUGUUAGAAUGGGUUAAAUUCGUUAAGGAUGUUGACGUAAUGGCUUUAAACGA